This 756-nucleotide ribosomal RNA is filed under the name uncultured bacterium. RNAcentral describes it as "bacterial SSU rRNA". It matches the Rfam family "Bacterial small subunit ribosomal RNA", at positions 45 to 796 of the family's 1533-position model. The record is from RNAcentral.
GGCCUAACACAUGCAAGUCGAGCGGUAGAGAGAAGCUUGCUUCUCUUGAGAGCGGCGGACGGGUGAGUAAUGCCUAGGAAUCUGCCUGGUAGUGGGGGAUAACGUUCGGAAACGGACGCUAAUACCGCAUACGUCCUACGGGAGAAAGCAGGGGACCUUCGGGCCUUGCGCUAUCAGAUGAGCCUAGGUCGGAUUAGCUAGUUGGUGAGGUAAUGGCUCACCAAGGCGACGAUCCGUAACUGGUCUGAGGGGAUGAUCAGUCACACUGGAACUGAGACACGGUCCAGACUCCUACGGGAGGCAGCAGUGGGGAAUAUUGGACAAUGGGCGAAAGCCUGAUCCAGCCAUGCCGCGUGUGUGAAGAAGGUCUUCGGAUUGUAAAGCACUUUAAGUUGGGAGGAAGGGUUGUAGAUUAAUACUCUGCAAUUUUGACGUUACCGACAGAAUAAGCACCGGCUAACCCUGUGCCAGCAGCCGCGGUAAUACAGAGGGUGCAAGCGUUAAUCGGAAUUACUGGGCGUAAAGCGCGCGUAGGUGGUUUGUUAAGUUGGAUGUGAAAUCCCCGGGCUCAACCUGGGAACUGCAUUCAAAACUGACUGACUAGAGUAUGGUAGAGGGUGGUGGAAUUUCCUGUGUAGCGGUGAAAUGCGUAGAUAUAGGAAGGAACACCAGUGGCGAAGGCGACCACCUGGACUAAUACUGACACUGAGGUGCGAAAGCGUGGGGAGCAAACAGGAUUAGAUACCCUGGUAGUCC